This 440-nucleotide long non-coding RNA is filed under the name Nicotiana benthamiana. RNAcentral's name for it is "long non-coding RNA (NBEN_LNC022803)". Lineage: Eukaryota; Viridiplantae; Streptophyta; Magnoliopsida; Solanales; Solanaceae. The record is from RNAcentral.
GCUCAUCGAUUUCUUGCCUUUCACCUGCGAUUGCUGUCACAAGGUAACCCUCCUCUCCUUUCUUCUCUCUUAAAAAUUUGUGCCAUUUUUUAAACGAUCAUUACACAAAUAGCCAGUCGGUAUACAUAGAUUACACUUUAAUUACAUAUGAUUAUAACUCCCUCUCCUUUCUUCUCUCUAUAAAUUUGUGCCAUUUUUUAAAGGAUCCUUACACAAAUAGCCAGGCGGUAUACAUAGAUUAUACUUUAAUUACAUAUGAUUAUAUACAUAUUAUACAUCUGUCAGCUAUUUUUAGUUUGAGCUGUUAGGUGUGGUCAUUGGAGUUACUUUUCUUUUUUUGGUACAGUUGUGCCAUUUGUUCCAUUUUUCUUUUGUAGCAUAUGAUUUGACUGUCUUUUUGUCAAUUUUGAGCUGAAAUACUUUUGCUUUUUAUGUUUUCU